RNAcentral lists this ribosomal RNA (1086 nucleotides) under uncultured organism. RNAcentral describes it as "bacterial SSU rRNA". It matches the Rfam family "Bacterial small subunit ribosomal RNA", at positions 15 to 1123 of the family's 1533-position model. The record is from RNAcentral.
GAUCCUGGCUCAGGAUGAACGCUAGCGGCAUGGAUAAGGCAUGCAAGUCGAGCGGUGAAGCUCACUUCGGUGAGUGGAUCAGCGGCGAACGGGUGAGUAACGCGUGAACAACUUGCCCUCGACACAGGGAUAGCCCCGGGAAACUGGAGUUAAUACCUGAUGAAGUACUGUUACGCAUGUAACGGCUACGAAAGAUUGAUUUCGGUCGAGGAGAGGUUCGCGUCCCAUUAGUUAGUUGGUAGGGUAACGGCUUACCAAGACGAAGAUGGGUAGCUGGUCUGAGAGGAUGAUCAGCCACACUGGGGCUGAGACACGGCCCAGACUCCUACGGGAGGCUGCAGUCGAGAAUAUUCGGCAAUGGGCGAAAGCCUGACCGAGUGAUGCCGCGUGAAGGAUGAAGGCCUUCGGGUUGUAAACUUCUGUCAAGAGGGACGAAUAACUGACGGUACCUCUAGAGGAAGCCCCGGCUAAAUACGUGCCAGCAGCCGCGGUAAUACGUAUGGGGCGAGCGUUAUCCGGAAUUACUGGGCGUAAAGGGUUCGUAGGGGGUCUGCCAAGUCUGAUGUGAAAUCCCGUGGCUCAACCACGGACGUGCAUUGGAAACUGGUGGACUUGAGUGUGCGAGAGGAAAGCGGAAUUCCCGGUGUAGCGGUGGAAUGCGUAGAUAUCGGGAAGAACACCAGAGGCGAAAGCGGCUUUCUGGCGCACAACUGACCCUGAGGAACGAAAGCGUGGGUAGCGAACAGGAUUAGAUACCCUGGUAGUCCACGCCGUAAACUUUGUAUGCUCGAUGUGGGUGUCAUCCAGUGACAUCCGUGUCUAAGCUAACGCGUUAAGCAUACCGCUGGGGACUACGAUCGCAAGAUUAAAACUCAAAGGAAUUGACGGGGGCCCGCACAACCGGUGGAGCAUGUUGCUUAAUUCGAUGCAACGCGAAGAACCUUACCCAGGUUUGACAUAUACUGGCCCGACUGUGAAAGCAGUUUUUCUUUCGAGAACCAGUAUACAGGUACUGCAUGCGUCGUCAGCUCGUCCGAGGUGUUCGUUAAGUCCGCACGAGCGCACCCCUAUGGUCAGUUGCCAGCG